This 476-nucleotide ribosomal RNA is filed under the name uncultured bacterium. RNAcentral describes it as "bacterial SSU rRNA". It matches the Rfam family "Bacterial small subunit ribosomal RNA", at positions 32 to 485 of the family's 1533-position model. The record is from RNAcentral.
AAUCAACGCUGGCGGCGUGCCUAACACAUGCAAGUCGAACGCGAAAGGGACUUCGGUCCUGAGUAGAGUGGCGAACGGGUGAGUAACACGUGGGUGACCUACCUUCGAAUGGGGGAUAACGUCCCGAAAGGGACGCUAAUACCGCAUAACAUCCUGCCUUUGAACAGGUGGUGAUCAAAGCCGGGGAUCGCAAGACCUGGCGUUUGAAGAGGGGCCCGCGUCCGAUUAGCUAGUUGGUGAGGUAACGGCUCACCAAGGCGACGAUCGGUAACCGGCCUGAGAGGGCGGACGGUCACACUGGGACUGAGACACGGCCCAGACUCCUACGGGAGGCAGCAGUGGGGAAUUGUUCACAAUGGGCGCAAGCCUGAUGACGCAACGCCGCGUGGAGGAUGAAGGUCUUCGGAUUGUAAACUCCUGUUGCCCGGGACGAAAAGCUUCGACCUAACACGUCGAAGUCUGACGGUACCGGGUGA